UACGGGGGGGGCAAGCGUUGUUCGGAAUUACUGGGCGUAAAGGGCUCGUAGGCGGCCAACUAAGUCGGAUGUGAAAUCCCCAGGCUCAACCUGGGAACUGCAUCCGAUACUGGAUGGCUUGAAUUCGGGAGAGGGAUGCAGAAUUCCAGGUGUAGCGGUGAAAUGCGUAGAUAUCAGGAAGAACACCCGUGGCUAAGGCGGCUCUCUAGUACGGUACUGACGCUGAGACGCGAAAGCGUGGGGAGCGAACAGG
This 253-nucleotide ribosomal RNA is filed under the name uncultured bacterium. RNAcentral's name for it is "partial 16S ribosomal RNA". It matches the Rfam family "Bacterial small subunit ribosomal RNA", at positions 524 to 776 of the family's 1533-position model. The record is from RNAcentral.